This 465-nucleotide ribosomal RNA is filed under the name Vreelandella stevensii. RNAcentral describes it as "partial 16S ribosomal RNA". It matches the Rfam family "Bacterial small subunit ribosomal RNA", at positions 338 to 795 of the family's 1533-position model. The record is from RNAcentral. Lineage: Bacteria; Pseudomonadati; Pseudomonadota; Gammaproteobacteria; Oceanospirillales; Halomonadaceae.
CCUACGGGGGGCAGCAGUGAGGAAUAUUGGACAAUGGGGGCAACCCUGAUCCAGCCAUGCCGCGUGUGUGAAGAAGGCCCUCGGGUUGUAAAGCACUUUCAGUGAGGAAGAACGCCUGGUGGUUAAUACCCAUCAGGAAAGACAUCACUCACAGAAGAAGCACCGGCUAACUCCGUGCCAGCAGCCGCGGUAAUACGGAGGGUGCGAGCGUUAAUCGGAAUUACUGGGCGUAAAGCGCGCGUAGGUGGCUUGAUAAGCCGGUUGUGAAAGCCCCGGGCUCAACCUGGGAACGGCAUCCGGAACUGUCAAGCUAGAGUGCAGGAGAGGAAGGUAGAAUUCCCGGUGUAGCGGUGAAAUGCGUAGAGAUCGGGAGGAAUACCAGUGGCGAAGGCGGCCUUCUGGACUGACACUGACACUGAGGUGCGAAAGCGUGGGUAGCAAACAGGAUUAGAUACCCGUGUAGUC